This is a long non-coding RNA of Planococcus citri (citrus mealybug), 1133 nucleotides long. RefSeq lists it as uncharacterized. The record is from RefSeq and is a predicted model, not a curated record. NCBI's taxonomy places the organism in Eukaryota, Metazoa, Arthropoda, Insecta, Hemiptera, Pseudococcidae. The transcript is spliced from 2 exons.
AUCAGUCUUCAAUUACAAGUGCAUUGUGGCGUCACAUCGACAAUGUCUAUUAAUAGAUAACAAAAUUAAAGAUAAAGAUUAAAGUUUGUGUUCAUUUUAAUUUACAUAUUUUACGCCAUAAAGCGUAACAGUUCUUCAAAGUUAACACAUUGCAUGCGUUGUUUUUUUCAAAUAGUAUGUAAUGUAGGUAUGUAUACCUAGCAGCACCUCUGUUCGGAGUGACUCUGUUUAUGUAAAUUCUGAUUUAUUUUGUUCAUCAUUCGUGAAGUGUGCCUAUAAUUUAUUUUCAUCAUGAGAAAAACAGUAAUCUAUUUAUUUGUACUCGUAAUACUUUCAUGCACUUUUUUCACCGCGUGUCACGCCAAAAAACGAAAUAGAGUUACUAUAUCUGACAGAAUCAGUUCACGUUUAUGUAAUAUUGUUUUGAGAUACGCUGAUGAAUUUCGGAAUUUUUCUCAGUUACAAAAUAGUAUGGAAGCAGUUUACGAAUCUCGUUUCAAUUACAGUGGUACCGCCAGAGAAAAUAUCUUGCGAUCAUACUGGUUAAGCACGGAUGUUCAUAACACAUACAGAGACUGUAUUAACACUAUCGACUGGGGCUGUCAAUUUGUCAUUGAGAACAUACCAGCCAAUGACGGUAUAGUAGAUAAUAUGCUACCGAAGGAGAGAGAUACAUUGUUGACUGAGAUUAGCGUGGCAACAAGUUCUCUUCAAUAUUAUGCUACUAAAUCCUUAGAAUCAUUCAAAUUAAUACCACCCAAACUGAUCGAGUUAAAAAACUCAUUGGAUGCUAUAUCAAAUGAUCUGCAUAAUGAUUGUGGUCCAGGUGGCUUUUACGGACCGCAGAAGCAAGAAAUAUUAGAACUAAAUACAGCUAGAGAAAUUGUUGCUAAUUUCAAUGGAGACUUGAAUUAUGAUGAAAAUACCAUGGAGCAGUUCACAGAAGAUCAAUAUUUUUCAAAGAUGCAAGACUUGUUGCACAAUUGUAAUGAACUUCGCAAAUGGCAUGCAUCCAACAUCACCCCGAAGAACUCGGAAGAUAUAGUUGUAAAUACAUAUUUACCCUAAACUCUUAAGUAGAUAAUUGUAUUCAAGUUCAUUUUUUAAAAAUAAAGAUAUGACUGUUUCUAUUA